Quercus robur (English oak) is the source of this 1620-nucleotide RNA transcript. RefSeq lists it as uncharacterized. NCBI's taxonomy places the organism in Eukaryota, Viridiplantae, Streptophyta, Magnoliopsida, Fagales, Fagaceae. The record is from RefSeq and is a predicted model, not a curated record. The transcript has 8 exons.
UAUUUUUGGAAAAAUAAGAUUUUAAACUAAAUAAUACUAACUUAAUGAGAACAUAAAAAAGGGGUAGCUUUGUGAAAAAGAGGGGGAGAAGUAGAACAAAAUGGAGGCAGCAGAGGCAGAGUACUUCUCCAAGGACUUCGAAUGGGAUGAACUCAGAGCAGAGGUCGAAAACGACCCAUCGUUUCGCUACCACUUGCUCCCUUUCGAAUCUUCAACAAUUCCCUCUUCACAAACAACAAGAGCAACAACAGCAGAAGAAGAAGAAGAUUCAACGGCAUGGAAGAGAUUUCAUAUCCGUCACUCCUCCGGCAAAUUCUUCAAGGAGAGACGGUAUUUACUAAAGGAGUUCCCAGAACUAGUUUCAUGUGGAGAAUCUUCUAAGGUUUUGGAGGUGGGAUGUGGCAAUGGCAGUACUGCUCUUCCAAUUUUACGUGGCAAUGAACACAUCAUUGUUUAUGCGUGCGAUUGUAGUAGUGAGAUUCUUGAGAGGGCUGAAGAGAUUAUAGAUGCCGCUACUGUAGUGUCUGUUAGACAUCGUUUCCGUACAUUCUGUUGUGAUUUCUCUGUCACUGGUCUUCCAAAGUGGUUGGCCUGCCAUACUUGCCGUGAAGUUUUCCUUCAAAAGCAGCAAAAUUGCCUGUCAGAUGUUAAAGAGAGUCAUGAAAGGCAUUAUAAUGAUUCAAAUUCAUUGAAAGAAAGUACCUGUUGCAUUGGCGGUAUGGAUUUUGUGACCUUGAUAUUUACACUAUCAGCUGUAACAUUCCAGAGGAUGCCAGCAUCCAUUAAGGAGUGCUUUUCUGUUUUAAAGCCAGGAGGCAUGCUCUUAUUUAGGGAUUACGGCCUCUAUGAUAUGACCAUGCUUCGAUUUGAGCCCAACCAAAGAGUAGGGUUCAUGGAGUACAUGCGAUCAGAUGGAACCCGUUCUUAUUUCUUCUCUUUAGAUACUGUCAGAGAUCUCUUUGUGGGUGCAGGCUUCAUUGAGCUUGAGCUUGAAUAUUGUUGUGUUAAAUCUGUGAAUCGCCGAAAUGAGAAGACCAUGCAGAGGGUGUGGGUUCAUGGGAAGUUUCAGAAGCCCAUGUGAAUUAUUUAUCAAGAUACCUUUCUUUUUGAGGUACUAUUUGAAGAGAUAAUGAUUUUUUUUAACCCUACAGUUUGCUCCGAAAAACUGUUCUUUAAUAUUUGGAAUUCUAAGGAUAGAUACCUACAUCAUUUCAAUUGAUGCAAAUUGCAGCAAAGAUUACAUACUGUGUCAUCACAUGGCGAAGUGGAGAUGGAAUGGAGUUUGGAAAUGUGAUUUCAUUCCACAUUCUUGAAUGUGGAAUAUGUAAGGCGAUUAUUAUUAGUAUUUAUUUAUUUUUGGAAUUUGGGUGAAAGCCUUGGCCAUUAAUUUGUUUCAAAUUUCGGAUAAGUGCCUUAUUUUUGGGGCUGAGAUGAAUGGGUUCCCUUAUUGUAGCAACUCUCUCUCUCUCUCUCACAAAGCUUAGACAAACCUUAGACACCCAAAGCUUGUACUUGCAACCUUUUGUAUGGUUGAUACUUAUGUGUCUUCAUUUCAUGUGUGGCUUGUAGAUGGUUGUUUUAAAUCGACUUUGUUGUGCGACAAGAUUUUAGUUUUAACCA